GUGUCCUACGGGGGGCAGCAGUGGGGAAUAUUGGGUAAUGGGCGCAAGCCUGACCCAGCAACGCCGCGUGAAGGAAGAAGGCCCUCGGGUUGUAAACUUCUUUUAUUCGGGACGAAACAAAUGACGGUACCGAAUGAAUAAGCCACGGCUAACUACGUGCCAGCAGCCGCGGUAAUACGUAGGUGGCAAGCGUUAUCCGGAUUUACUGGGUGUAAAGGGCGUGUAGGCGGGAGAGCAAGUCAGACGUGAAAUUCCCGGGCUCAACCCUGGAACUGCGUUUGUAACUGUUCUUCUUUAGUG
Molecule: ribosomal RNA, 300 nt
Filed under: uncultured bacterium
Lineage: Bacteria
Description: bacterial SSU rRNA
Rfam family: Bacterial small subunit ribosomal RNA
Source: RNAcentral